UCUGAUCAGAGCUCUCUCCCUCUCCUCUCGUCUCCUCUUUUCACUACGAUGGCCACGCCCCAGACACACUUACUCCCCGCGACAUCCCCACGCUUUCUCCCACAUCCUUAUAUGCUCCCUUCCCCCCCGCAUUUGUUUCUGCAUACGCCUUCGCAUUCUCACCACCACCACCACCACCACCACCACCACAACCAAAGUGUAAACAGAAUCUGCAUUUGCGUGCGGUGUUAUUAUAUAGGGUGUGGGGUCUAAUUAUUAGAUAUGGCCGGUAACUACAAUCCUUAUUCGCACGUGCGUGAUUAUCCGCAGGAGGGGGAACACG
Molecule: long non-coding RNA, 322 nt
Filed under: Ananas comosus (pineapple)
Lineage: Eukaryota; Viridiplantae; Streptophyta; Magnoliopsida; Poales; Bromeliaceae
Description: long non-coding RNA (ACOM_LNC006114)
Source: RNAcentral